UGGGGACGUAGCUCAGUUGGGAGAGCAUCUGCUUUGCACGCAGAGGGUCAGGGGUUCAAGUCCCCUCGUCUCCAUAGC
Molecule: transfer RNA, 78 nt
Filed under: Sulfurihydrogenibium yellowstonense SS-5
Lineage: Bacteria; Pseudomonadati; Aquificota; Aquificia; Aquificales; Hydrogenothermaceae
Description: tRNA-Ala
Rfam family: tRNA
About the family: Transfer RNA (tRNA) molecules are approximately 80 nucleotides in length. Their secondary structure includes four short double-helical elements and three loops (D, anti-codon, and T loops).
Source: RNAcentral